Electrophorus electricus (electric eel) is the source of this 473-nucleotide long non-coding RNA. RefSeq lists it as uncharacterized. NCBI's taxonomy places the organism in Eukaryota, Metazoa, Chordata, Actinopteri, Gymnotiformes, Gymnotidae. The record is from RefSeq and is a predicted model, not a curated record.
UUUCACUUUCUUUUCUGAGGAAAUCAGCAGAAAGUUAGCAGUUGUGUCUAAUGUUUUACAUAUGAGUGUUGGUAGUUUUUUAUAAACUCGGAAACAGCGCUAUCACCAUAAUUGAAAAGUUAUUUGUGGGUGCUGAAAGGCUUAAACAAGUUGCAGAAUUAAGGUGAAGGCAUUUGGAAAAUAUUCUAAGCUAACACACAAUGACUCCCGUAACUGAACAUAGCGGUAACAUACUGCCUGUUGUUUGCGUGGUGUUUGCAGCACUGGUUGUGGGAGUUUUCUUAGGAUGGAAAAUGAGGAUCUUACAAGAAAAAUCAUACAGAAAAAUGAGAGAAAUCUCAGCUGCCAUAAAAAAAGAACUUGCUGCCUUAUUUGUCAUUAUUGUUGUCAGUACUUUCAUUUAUUAUUAUUAUUAUUAUAAACAAUAAUAAGACAAACUAAUUCUGCAGGUUAAUAAAAUGAAGUUUCAAACA